GGGAUUGCCUCAGUAACGGCGAGUGAAGCGGCAACAGCUCAAAUUUGAAAUCUGGCCCUAGGCCCGAGUUGUAAUUUGCAGAGGAUGCUUUUGGCGAGGUGCCUUCCGAGUUCCCUGGAACGGGACGCCAUAGAGGGUGAGAGCCCCGUCUGGUCGGACACCGAGCCUCUGUAAAGCUCCUUCGACGAGUCGAGUAGUUUGGGAAUGCUGCUCUAAAUGGGAGGUAUAUGUCUUCUAAAGCUAAAUACCGGCCAGAGACCGAUAGCGCACAAGUAGAGUGAUCGAAAGAUGAAAAGCACUUUGAAAAGAGAGUUAAAUAGCACGUGAAAUUGUUGAAAGGGAAGCGUUUAUGACCAGACUUGGCCCGGUUGAUCAUCCAGCGUUCUCGCUGGUGCACUCUGCCGGUCCAGGCCAGCAUCAGUUCGUCGCGGGGGAUAAAGGUUUCGGGAAUGUGGCUCCUUCGGGAGUGUUAUAGCCCGUUGCGUAAUACCCUGCGGUGGACUGAGGUCCGCGCUUCUGCAAGGAUGCUGGCGUAAUGGUCAUCAACGACCCGUCUUGAAACACGGACCAAGGAGUCGUCUUCGUAUGCGAGUGUUCGGGUGUAAAACCCCUACGCGUAAUGAAAGUGAACGCAGGUGAGAGCUUCGGCGCAUCAUCGACCGAUCCUGAUGUUCUCGGAUGGAUUUGAGUAAGAGCAUACGGGGCCGGACCCGAAAGAAGGUGAACUAUGCCUGUAUAGGGUGAAGCCAGAGGAAACUCUGGUGGAGGCUCGCAGCGGUUCUGACGUGCAAAUCGAUCGUCAAAUAUGGGCAUGGGGGCGAAAGACUAAUCGAACCUUCUAGUAGCU
This 847-nucleotide ribosomal RNA is filed under the name Paramyrothecium parvum. Its description in RNAcentral is "LSU rRNA". It matches the Rfam family "Eukaryotic large subunit ribosomal RNA", at positions 71 to 952 of the family's 3401-position model. The record is from RNAcentral. Lineage: Eukaryota; Fungi; Ascomycota; Sordariomycetes; Hypocreales; Stachybotryaceae.